RNAcentral lists this ribosomal RNA (498 nucleotides) under Bacillus sp. enrichment culture clone JL2_Na7. Its description in RNAcentral is "bacterial SSU rRNA". It matches the Rfam family "Bacterial small subunit ribosomal RNA", at positions 419 to 907 of the family's 1533-position model. The record is from RNAcentral. Lineage: Bacteria; Bacillati; Bacillota; Bacilli; Caryophanales; Bacillaceae.
CGGGUCGUAAAACUCUGUUGUUAGGGAAGAACAAGUGCUAGUUGAAUAAGCUGGCACCUUGACGGUACCUAACCAGAAAGCCACGGCUAACUACGUGCCAGCAGCCGCGGUAAUACGUAGGUGGCAAGCGUUAUCCGGAAUUAUUGGGCGUAAAGCGCGCGCAGGUGGUUUCUUAAGUCUGAUGUGAAAGCCCACGGCUCAACCGUGGAGGGUCAUUGGAAACUGGGAGACUUGAGUGCAGAAGAGGAAAGUGGAAUUCCAUGUGUAGCGGUGAAAUGCGUAGAGAUAUGGAGGAACACCAGUGGCGAAGGCGACUUUCUGGUCUGUAACUGACACUGAGGCGCGAAAGCGUGGGGAGCAAACAGGAUUAGAUACCCUGGUAGUCCACGCCGUAAACGAUGAGUGCUAAGUGUUAGAGGGUUUCCGCCCUUUAGUGCUGAAGUUAACGCAUUAAGCACUCCGCCUGGGGAGUACGGCCGCAAGGCUGAAACUCAAAGA